Molecule: ribosomal RNA, 501 nt
Filed under: Cladosporium macrocarpum
Lineage: Eukaryota; Fungi; Ascomycota; Dothideomycetes; Cladosporiales; Cladosporiaceae
Description: eukaryotic LSU rRNA
Rfam family: 5.8S ribosomal RNA (bases 143-296)
Source: RNAcentral
CUUCGGCCUGGUUUAUUCAUAACCCUUUGUUGUCCGACUCUGUUGCCUCCGGGGCGACCCUGCCUUCGGGCGGGGGCUCCGGGUGGACACUUCAAACUCUUGCGUAACUUUGCAGUCUGAGUAAACUUAAUUAAUAAAUUAAAACUUUUAACAACGGAUCUCUUGGUUCUGGCAUCGAUGAAGAACGCAGCGAAAUGCGAUAAGUAAUGUGAAUUGCAGAAUUCAGUGAAUCAUCGAAUCUUUGAACGCACAUUGCGCCCCCUGGUAUUCCGGGGGGCAUGCCUGUUCGAGCGUCAUUUCACCACUCAAGCCUCGCUUGGUAUUGGGCAACGCGGUCCGCCGCGUGCCUCAAAUCGUCCGGCUGGGUCUUCUGUCCCCUAAGCGUUGUGGAAACUAUUCGCUAAAGGGUGUUCGGGAGGCUACGCCGUAAAACAACCCCAUUUCUAAGGUUGACCUCGGAUCACGUAGGGAUACCCGCUGAACUUAAGCAUAUCAAUAAUC